AAGGGCACCACAAGAACGCGUGGAGCAUGUGGCUUAAUUUGACUCAACGCGGGAAAUCUUACCGGGUCCGGACACACUGAGGAUUGACAGGUAUUAUAUAAUUGCUCUUCGGAGCUUUUAUUGUUAAAUAUGCUAGUCCUUUCAUGAUUAUGUGAUAGGUGGUGCAUGGCCGUCCUUAGUUCGUGGAGUGAUCUGUCUGCUUAAUUGCGUUUCACUAUAAGGAUCUAUAUUCUUUACAGUGUGCAGUGCAUUGACCCCUUCUUCGGAAGCGUGUGUCUUUACGCUCGCACUUCAUUAGGUCCUGAAAGCAACGAACGUGACCGCAACCUCUUGUUGCCUCUGUGCUCCUACACGCUCAAUGCGCUAAACACUGGUUUUCUAGCUUAGUGCGUUGGUUGAGGCUUUCUUAAACUAGAGGGACCGCUGUCAACUUCUUAAACCAGAGGAAGGUUGCGGCAAUAACAGGUCUGUGAUGCCCUUAGAUGUUCCGGGCUGCACACGUGCUACAAUGAUUGUUGCAGUGAGCAUCUCAAUUCUUUACCACACCGCACACGUGAGUCUUUAACGUUUUGUUAAUGCACUUUACGCAGCGGUAACGCCUGCUUCGAGAGCAAGUGGGUAAUCAAUUAGAAGUAACGAUUUCCCAAGUUAGCACACUUAUAUACGGCGUUUAUGCCCGGGUUUCACUCGUUGAUUCCUUUGUGCGCGUAGAUGGAUUCUUCCGUAUGUGCAAUUGUCAAUUCAUGGUGGGGACAGACCAUUGUUAAUUGUUGGUCUCGGUCUUAACUAGGAAUGCCUUGUACGGGUCUUUGGUUCAACAAACCACCCGGAAUACGUCCCUGCCCUUUGUACACACCGCCCGUCGCUCUUACCGAUGGACUUCUCUGUGAGUUUGAGGGACUGGGUUAACGCUUCGGCGUGAACCUAUGGAAACUUAAACGAACAGUGUGGUCUAAAGGAAAGAGAAGUCGUAACAAGGCAUCGGUAGGUGAACCUGCUGAUGGAUCA
RNAcentral lists this ribosomal RNA (1008 nucleotides) under Candeina nitida. RNAcentral's name for it is "SSU rRNA". It matches the Rfam family "Eukaryotic small subunit ribosomal RNA", at positions 1160 to 1828 of the family's 1831-position model. Lineage: Eukaryota; Foraminifera; Rotaliida; Candeinidae. The record is from RNAcentral.